This 1374-nucleotide long non-coding RNA is filed under the name Citrus x clementina. RNAcentral describes it as "Citrus clementina (C. clementina) long non-coding RNA (CCLE_LNC005926)". The record is from RNAcentral. Lineage: Eukaryota; Viridiplantae; Streptophyta; Magnoliopsida; Sapindales; Rutaceae.
GAUUUUUGGGCGCGGCUGUGCCCGUGGCCUAUUUUUGGCACACGGAGGCCGCCCGCCAAGUCUGGGGCCAUUCCGAGUCCCACGGACGAACUUCGCCCACGCCCCACACAUAGGGUAUAGCCCACCCGUUUUUUGGCCAUUUUUCCGCUGGGGGGUCUUGGGACCCCGACCUUCGGGGGCUGAUUUUUGGGCGCGGCUGUGCCCGUGGCCUAUUUUUGGCACACAGAGGCCGCCCGCCAAGUCUGGGGCCAUUCCGAGUCCCGCGGACGAACUUCGCCCACGCCCCCCACAUAGGCUAUAGCCCACCCGUUUUUUGGCCAUUUUUCCGCUGGGGGGUCUUGGGACCCCGACCUUCGGGGGCUUAUUUUUUGGCGCGGCUGUGCCCGUGGCCUAUUUUUGGCACACGGAGGCCGCCUGCCAUGUCUGGGGCCAUUCCGAGUCCAGCGGACGAACUUCGCCCACGCCCCCCACAUAGGCUAUAGCCCACCCGUUUUUUGGCCAUUUUUCCGCUGGGGGCUCUUGAGACCCCGACCUUGGGGGGCUGAUUUUUAGGCGCGGCUGUGCACGUGGCCUAUUUUUGGCACACGGAGGCCGCCCACCAAGUCUGGGGCCAUUCCGAGUCCCGCGGACGAACUUCGCCCACGCCCCCCACAUAGGCUAUAGCCCACCCAUUUUUCCGCUUGGGGGUCUUGGGACCCCGACCUUCGGGGGCUGAUUUUUGGGCGCGGCUGUGCCCGUGGCCUAUUUUGUUCACACGGAGGCCGCCCGCCAACUCUGGUGCCAUUCCGAGUCCCGCGGACGAACUUCGCCCACGCCCCCCACCAAGGCUAUAGCCCACCAGUUUUUUGGCCAUUUUUCCGCUGGGGGGUCUUGGGACCCCGACCUUCGGGGGCUGAUUUUUGGGCGCGGCUGUGCCCGUGGCCUAUUUUUGGCACACGGAGGCCGCCCGCCAAGUCUGGGGCCAUUCCGAGUCCCGCGGACGAACUUCGCCCACGCCCCCCACCAAGGCUAUAGCCCACCCGUUUUUUGGCCAUUUUUCCGCUGGGGGGUCUUGGGACCCCGACCUUCGGGGGUUGAUUUUUGGGCGCGGCUGUGCCCGUGGCCUAUUUUUGGCACACGGAGGCCGCCCGCCAAGUCUGGGGCCAUUCCGAGUCCCGCGGACGAACUUCGCCCACGCCCCCCACCUAGGCUAUAGCCCACCCGUUUUUUGGCCAUUUUUCGGCUGGGGGGUCUUGGGACCCCCACCUUCGGGGGCUGAUUUUUGGGCGCGGCUGUGCCCGUGGCCUAAUUUUGGCACACGGAGGCCGGCCGCCAAGUCUGGGGCCAUUCCGAGUCCGGCGGACGAACUUCGCCCACGCCCCCCACCAAGGCUNN